UUGAAAGGGAAACGAUUGAAGUCAGUCGUACCAGCGGGAAAUCAACCUUUCGAGCGGUUUUUGGAGUUUUGAAGAGUGUCAAAACCUUUGAGAUUUCAAAAUUUUCGCUCCUUUGGUGUACUUUCUCGUGGGUAGGUUAACAUCGAUUUCGAUCAUCAUAAAAGGAUUGGAGGAAUGUAGCUUCGAUCUUGUAUUGAAGUGUUAUAGCCUUUGGUAAAUGUGAUGAUUAGGAUCGAGGAUUGCAACGAAUACCCUUCUGGGCUAUCCGCCUGAUCUCUGAUACGUGGCCUUGGCAUCGAAAGCUUGCUUAUGGUAUCAAGGUAUUACGGUCAAAAGGUUAGAACGGAUUACAUUCGUUAAGGAUGUUGACGUA
This 373-nucleotide ribosomal RNA is filed under the name uncultured Glomeromycotina. Its description in RNAcentral is "LSU rRNA". The record is from RNAcentral. Lineage: Eukaryota; Fungi; Glomeromycota.